GAGGAAUAUUGGUCAAUGGACGGAAGUCUGAACCAGCCAAGUAGCGUGCAGGAAGACGGCCCUAUGGGUUGUAAACUGCUUUUAUACGAGAAUAAUUUGAUGCACGUGUGCGUUAUUGCAUGUAUCGUAUGAAUAAGGACCGGCUAAUUCCGUGCCAGCAGCCGCGGUAAUACGGAAGGUCCAGGCGUUAUCCGGAUUUAUUGGGUUUAAAGGGAGUGUAGGCGGUUUGUUAAGCGUGUUGUGAAAUUUAGGUGCUCAACAUUUAACUUGCAGCGCGAACUGUCAGACUUGAGUACACGCAACGUAUGCGGAAUUCAUGGUGUAGCGGUGAAAUGCUUAGAUAUGACGAAGAACUCCGAUUGCGAAGGCAGCUGACGGGAGCGCAACUGACGCUUAAGCUCGAAGGUGCGGGUAUCAAACAGGAUUAGAUACCCUGGUAGUCCGCACAGUAAACGAUGGAUGCCCGCUGUUGGUACCUGGUAUCAGCGGCUAAGCGAAAGCAUUAAGCAUCCCACCUGGGGAGUACGCCGGCAACGGUG
RNAcentral lists this ribosomal RNA (539 nucleotides) under uncultured bacterium. RNAcentral describes it as "bacterial SSU rRNA". It matches the Rfam family "Bacterial small subunit ribosomal RNA", at positions 356 to 896 of the family's 1533-position model. The record is from RNAcentral.